Molecule: long non-coding RNA, 217 nt
Filed under: Physcomitrium patens
Lineage: Eukaryota; Viridiplantae; Streptophyta; Bryopsida; Funariales; Funariaceae
Description: long non-coding RNA (PPAT_LNC012698)
Source: RNAcentral
AUGAUAAUUUUUAUUUUUGAAAAGAUUGAGGUGAAUUCAAUGAAAUGAUACAACAAGGUAUUAUUUUUUAGAAAGAUUGAAAGGUGAUAUUGAAGGAUAUUAAUAAUCUUUUUCAAAUCAACUUUGAUAAGGGAAGUAUAAAAGCUUUGAUUAAGGAUUAUUUAGCUAUGCAUGGAAUUGCAACAAUAGAAGUUACAAGUUAUAGCACUAAAUUAGA